Molecule: non-coding RNA, 32 nt
Filed under: Mus musculus (house mouse)
Lineage: Eukaryota; Metazoa; Chordata; Mammalia; Rodentia; Muridae
Source: RNAcentral
UUAACCUUUAACCUCAUAAAGGGGGCAAACUU